This 394-nucleotide ribosomal RNA is filed under the name uncultured bacterium. Its description in RNAcentral is "bacterial SSU rRNA". It matches the Rfam family "Bacterial small subunit ribosomal RNA", at positions 359 to 758 of the family's 1533-position model. The record is from RNAcentral.
UUGCGUGGGGGAACCUGACCGCAAUGCCGCGUGAGUGAAGAAGGCCUUCGGGUUGUAAAGCUCUUUUGUCAGGGAAGAAACACCGGCUCUAACACAGUCCGGGAAUGACGGUACCUGAAGAAUAAGCACCGGCUAACUACGUGCCAGCAGCCGCGGUAAUACGUAGGGUGCAAGCGUUAAUCGGAAUUACUGGGCGUAAAGCGUGCGCAGGCGGUUAUACAAGACAGGCGUGAAAUCCCCGGGCUUAACCUGGGAAUGGCGCCUGUGACUGUAUAGCUAGAGUGUGUCAGAGGGGGGUAGAAUUCCACGUGUAGCAGUGAAAUGCGUAGAUAUGUGGAGGAAUACCAAUGGCGAAGGCAGCCCCCUGGGAUAACACUGACGCUCAUGCACGAAA